GACAGAGAAAGCCCAGUUUCAACAGUCAUAUUUUAAUCUUAUAUGAAUUUCAUAUGAAAAAUGAGAAAAGCACCCACUCAUCAUACAAAAGGGACACGAGUGAGUUUGGACUGAAAAAAAGAUGACAAAAAGGAAAAAGAACCCGGCCAAUAAUGCAGCAAAAUUCUAUUCUUUGACGAUCUUAUCCACUGGAAUAGUCAGAGCAUCUGAAAAUAUUAAAUGUGGUUGUUUUCCUGAUUAUAUAUCUAUUGUUCCUUGAAAAUAUUUUCUGCAACAUCUUUCCGUUAAGCCAAAAGCAAAGUUGCCUAUUCAUGUGCUGCCCAGAAGUCAAAGGAGCAGUUCCAAAGCAUCCUGAUACUGAGGAGGGCUUCCACAGAGUGGUGGAGGCAAAUUUUCUUGGAAUUGGAAAGAUACUUCAGGAGCAUUCCACUUCUGAGCAUUAUGAUCCCCAAGCUCACAGAGUCUAACAACUUAUCCAAAUCACAUGGCCUUGCUUCAGACACCUAUGGC
This 510-nucleotide long non-coding RNA is filed under the name Pan troglodytes (chimpanzee). Its description in RNAcentral is "long non-coding RNA NONPTRT011468". The record is from RNAcentral. Lineage: Eukaryota; Metazoa; Chordata; Mammalia; Primates; Hominidae.